UACAGAGGUCUCAAGCGCUGUUCGGAUUCACUGGGCUUACAGAGUUCGUAGGCGGUCUGGAAAGUUGGGUGUGAAAUCCCUCGGCUCAACCGAGGAACUGCGCUUGAAACUACCAGACUCGAGGGAGAUAGAGGAAAGCGGAACUGAUGGUGGAGCGGUGAAAUGCGUUGAUAUCAUCAGGAACACCGGUGGCGAAGGCGGCUUUCUGGGUCUUACCUGACGCUGAGGAACGAAAGCCAGGGGAGCGAACGGG
This 253-nucleotide ribosomal RNA is filed under the name uncultured bacterium. RNAcentral's name for it is "partial 16S ribosomal RNA". It matches the Rfam family "Bacterial small subunit ribosomal RNA", at positions 524 to 776 of the family's 1533-position model. The record is from RNAcentral.